AGGAUUCGAUUCUGGCUCAGGAUGAACGCUGGCGGCGUGCUUCAUACAUGCAAGUCGAACGAGAAUUGGUAGCUUGCUACCAAGGAAAGUGGCGGACGGGUGAGUAAUACAUAGGGAAUCUGCCCUUAGCCGGGGGGACAACAGUUGGAAACGACUGCUAAUACCGCAUAUGAGUAUAGUUGAGAUAUUAUACUUGAAAACUCCGGUGGCUAAGGAUGAGCCUGUGCCUGAUUAGUUAGUUGGCGGGGUAAAGGCCCACCAAGGCGACGAUCAGUAGCUGGUUUGAGAGGAUGAUCAGCCACAAUGGGACUGAGACACGGCCCAUACUCCUACGGGAGGCAGCAGUAGGGAAUUUUGCGCAAUGGGCGAAAGCCUGACGCAGCAACGCCGCGUGUGUGAUGAACGCCCCUAGGGGUGUAAAACACUGUCAGUGGGGACGAAAGAUGACGGUACCCACAGAGGAAGCACCGGCUAACUCCGUGCCAGCCGCUGC
RNAcentral lists this ribosomal RNA (493 nucleotides) under uncultured bacterium. Its description in RNAcentral is "bacterial SSU rRNA". It matches the Rfam family "Bacterial small subunit ribosomal RNA", at positions 8 to 518 of the family's 1533-position model. The record is from RNAcentral.